This is a long non-coding RNA of Triticum dicoccoides, 1618 nucleotides long. RefSeq lists it as uncharacterized. The record is from RefSeq and is a predicted model, not a curated record. Lineage: Eukaryota; Viridiplantae; Streptophyta; Magnoliopsida; Poales; Poaceae. The transcript has 4 exons.
UGAGCGCUACAGAGCUUCGGCGUGCAACCUCAUCCUCACGAUAUUUUUCAUAGAGCGUCCGCAGCCUCCGGCCUCUUCAGCUUCUCCAUCAAAUCCCUGGCCGGUUGAUUUUCCUUGCUCAUAUUCGUCUUCUUCCCUCUAGCCUUUUCCCUUCCAUGUCUUUUUCAAUCCCAGUCAAUAUUAUAUGGCUCCUCCGCUUCUUAUUCUUCCUAUUCCCAAUCUCCCUUCACCUGUCGCUUCGGCCUGCUUCCAUGGCUGGAACUACAAGGUGUCAAAUCCAACGGGGAUUUAAUUAGCGGCAGGGAUCCACGGUGGUGUUGGACUGGUGGAAAAGGUAGCCGAUUCACUGGGCAUCACCGCUUCUGACUGCCUCGAUUGGUUAUGUCAUCGUCAGUGUCAUCGACAUUGCGGACCAAUCGGCACCCUCAAUGGCGCCAGGUAGUGUGCAAGCGCGGGUACAGAUCGAUGGGUGCCCUCUACCGGCACAACUGUAUAGCAUGCAUGAUCCAUGGCGCCGGGCAACAUGCAAGCUCUGCUGCAGAUCGAUGGUUCAUAGUAGAAGCGACAAGAAAGGCAACCUGAAGGUCUCCGCGCCUUCAUGUUAGGUCCGCGAUUCCUCGAGUGCUUCUUCAUGGAGUCUGUAGGCGAAGAACUGGAGGAAGGAGGAUGAAGGAUGGACGGUGACUGACAUUUAUUAGGCAGGAUUAGAUAUGCUAAAUUGUUUGAUUACCAUGGUCACCAAGGCACUUAGAUGUAUCUAUGCUUGGCCACAGAAGUCACAUUCAGUUUUCAUCUGUUUCAAUAAGCCGCUAUGAAACUGUCCGCUGAUUGUCCCUACAGUUGCUUACUAAUGUGAUCCAUGCAUGAUGUUGCUACUUUGCAGCAGUACAUAUUAUUGGCUCCUUUUCCCUACCACACUAACAGGUGGUUAAGAAAUAAUUGUACAUAAAGGAUCAAGAAACAACGGUUACUCAUUUUCUGGUAUGUUCACAUAUACUAUUAUAUCAUAUUUAUUUAUGUAGGAUCACCAAAGGUUUGUAAUUUUCUUUAAUCUUCGGAUAUAAUCUUCACCUUUAUUAACCAUGUUUGUUCUUUCUUUCUGUCUAAUAAUGUAGGAAUUAAUAAUUACCAAUCAAAAGUAAAACUAUUAUUAUGCUAACACGAUUUUUGCUAAUAGUUUAAAAACACACACUAACUUCUGGUGUUUCUUUGAAUCUAGCACCUUUCUUUCUAAGAUAAAGCAUCCUUCUAUAUGUACUUAAGGUACAUUGUGAUUAAGACGAAUUAUGAAAAAAAUAUUUCUUAAAAGAUUAUAGUGUUUGUGUGUGUUCUAUCUAAACUUACAGCCAUUGAACUUUGUUCCGUUGAAUAGUUGUGUGAUUUUGGCAAAACAAAUCAUACUUUUCCGUACAUGCUCCCUACUGUAUUACUCUAAGCAUUUGACUGUUCUUCGUUUACCGGGGAGGUGUGAAAUCCAUCAUAGUUUAUGUUCCCGGUAGAGACAUUGUUUCAGUAUAUGCAUAUGUAUCUUUAUACCAUAAUUUCUGGAAAAUGGUUGUUUUAUUUAGCAAAUGUAAUAUAUUAUGAUGCCUAUGCGAGCUUCCUUUUUGUGCUGUCA